GGAAAGAUGGCUCAGUGGUAGAGUGCUUGUCUAGCAUGCAUGAAGCCCUGGGUUCGAUUCCUCAGUACCA
This 70-nucleotide transfer RNA is filed under the name Dipodomys ordii (Ord's kangaroo rat). It matches the Rfam family "tRNA". From Rfam's summary of the family: Transfer RNA (tRNA) molecules are approximately 80 nucleotides in length. Their secondary structure includes four short double-helical elements and three loops (D, anti-codon, and T loops). Lineage: Eukaryota; Metazoa; Chordata; Mammalia; Rodentia; Heteromyidae. The record is from Rfam by way of RNAcentral.